Molecule: non-coding RNA, 2160 nt
Organism: Callorhinus ursinus (northern fur seal)
Lineage: Eukaryota; Metazoa; Chordata; Mammalia; Carnivora; Otariidae
Source: RefSeq, a predicted model, not a curated record
AUGGCAGCUGGUAAAAAUCAAGGUGACCCCAAGAAAAUGGCUCCUCCCCCAAAGGAGGUAGAAGAAGACAGUGAAGAUGAGGAAAUGGCAGGAGAUGAAGGUGAUGAUAGCAGUGGAGAAGAGGUUAUCGUCCCUCAGAGAAAAGCCAAGAAGGCUACUACAACUCCAGCAAAGAAGGUGAUGUUUUCCCCCAACAAAAAAAGUCACAGUUGCCACACUGGCCAAGAAAGCAGUUGUCAUCCCUGGCAAAAAGGCAGUGGCUACACCAGCCAAAAAGACCGUUGUGCGGGCCAAAGCAGUAGCAACACCUGGCAAGAAGGGGGUCACACCAGGCAAGGCACUGGUAGCAACCCCUGGUGAGAAAGGAGCAGCCACCCCAGCCAAGGGAGCAGAGAAUGGUAAGAAUGCCAAGAAGGAAGACAGUGCUGAGGAAGAUGAUGAUGACAGUGAAGGGGGGACUAGGAGGAGGAGGAGGAAGAUGAGGAGCAGGAGGAGGAAGAAGAGGAGGAGGAGGAGGAAGAAGAGGAGGAGGAGGAGGAAGAAGAGGAAGAGCCUGUUAAAGAAGCACCUGGAAAAUGAAAGAAGGCAAUGGCCAAACAGAAAGCAGCUCCAGAAGCCAAGAAGCAGAAAGUAGAAGCUACAGAACCAACGACAUCAUUCAAUCUUUUUGUUGGAAACCUGAACUUGAGCAAAUCUGUUCCCGAAUUAAAAACGGGCAUCAGUGACCUUUUUGCUAAAAAUGAUCUUGUCGUUGUGGAUGUCAGAAUUGGUGUGUCCAGGAAGUUUGUCUAUGUGGAUUUUGAAUCUGCUGGAGACCUGGAAAAAGCUUUGGAACUCACUGGUUUACAAGUCUCUGGCAAUGAAAUUAAACUAGAAAAACGAAAGGGAAAAGACAGUAAGAAAGAUCGAGAUACAAGAACACUUUUGGCUAAAAAUCUGCCUUACAAAGUUACUCAGGAUGAACUAAAAGAAGUAUUUGAAGAUGCUGAGGAGGUCAGAUUAGUCAGCAAGGAUGGAAAGAGUAAAGGGAUUGCUUAUAUUGAAUUUAAGACUGAAGCUGAUGCAGAAAAAAACCUUGGAAGAAAAGCAGGGCACAGAGAUAGGUAGGCGGGCUAUCCCCCUGUUCUACACCGGAGAGAAGGGUCAAAGUCACGACUCUAUAGGUGGCAAGAGUAGCACUUGGAGUGGUGAAUCAAAAACACUGGUUUAAAGCAACCUCUCUUACAAUGCAACAGAAGAAACCCUUCAGGAAGUAUUUGAGAAGGCAACUUUUAUUAAAGUGCCCCAGAACCAAAAUGGCAAAUCUAAAGGGUAUGCAUUUAUGGAAUUUGCUUCAUUUGAAGAUGCUAAAGAAGCUUUAAAUUCCUGUAAUAAAAGGGAAAUUGAGGGCAGAGCAAUCAGACUAGAGUUGCAAGGACCCAGCGGAUCACCUAAUGCCAGAAGCCAGCCGUCCAAAACUUUGUUUGUCAAAGGUCUGUCUGAGGAUACUACAGAAGAUACAUUAAAGGAGUCGUUUGAUGGCUCUGUUCGAGGAAAGGCAGUCACUGACUGGGAGACUGGGUCUUCCAAAUGGUUUGGUUUUGUAGACUUCAACAGUGAGAAAGAUGCCAAAGCUUCCAAGGAGGCCAUGGAAGAUGGUGAAAUUGAUGGAAACAAAGUUACUUUGGACUGGGCCAAGCCUAAGGGUGAAGGUGGCUUUGGAGGUUGUGGUGGAGGCCGAGGUGGCUUUGGAGGCCGAGGUGGUGGCAGAGGAGGCCGAGAUGGAUUUGGUGGCAGAGGCUGGGGAGGCUUUGGAGGGCGAGGAGACUUCCGAGGAGGCAGAGGAGGAGGGGGAGACCACAAACCACAAGGAAAGAAGACGAAGUUUGAAUAGUUUCUUCCAUCCCUCUGUCUUUCCCUCUUCUGUUUGAAAGAAAAGGACUCUGGGGUUUUUAUUCUGUUACCUGAUCAAUGACAGAGCCUUUUGAGGACAUUCCAAGAUAGUAGAGUCCUGUGGUCUACUUGGAAAUUUGUAUAGAUAACAUUUCAAGGGAGAUACCCUGUUGGUUUUGACUGGAUAUUCAUAUAAAUUUUUUAAAAGAGAAGAGUGAUAGAGCUAAUCCUUAUCUGUAAGUUUUGAAUUUAUAUUGUUUCUUCCCAUGUACAAAACCAUUUUUUUCC